GAAUUUGUGCCAGCAGAGCUAUUAGCAGGAUUGAAUGGGGGGGAAAAUCUAAGAUGAAAUCUUCCAGAUACCGACACGAGUGCAAUGCCUUCCCGCUCUCAUCCCAUCAACUAUAAUGAAUGAUUGGUACAAUGCAGACAAGGACUGUAAUGGAAGACUGCGGCAAAGACAGGAAUAGGGAUACUUCAGAGUAAUUCACCCUCUUGCAUGAGACAGAGGCAAGUCAUAAUAUUUUUCAUGUAGCUCUGCUGUCAGUUGUUGAGGAGAAUCCGACAAAGCACAAUUUAUUUUGUGAACUGGCUUCAUUUCAGUCCCAGGAGAAGAGAUUACAGAGAUUCCUCUGCCCCUGUGCUCAGGAUUAUAAUCUGGCCCACCUUCUCUGAAGUCAAAAUAAGACAUAUUAUGCAGCACACAUUGAAAACAGAGCUCUGCACAAAGGAUUCAUAGUUCCUUGGAAAUGGCCGCUUCUAUUCACAAGAUGAUAGAGAACAAUGGUCCAGUCUUGCAUCCACAGAUUGCUGGUUGCUACCCCUUACUGCAAGUGCAUCUUUGCCAAGUAUUUAGAGAACAUCAUGCAAGAUAUCAUCUUCCCUAGGGCCAGACUCACCUGAUACCUAACCACUGUGGUAAAGCUUUAAGCUCCAAGGUGAC
Molecule: long non-coding RNA, 651 nt
Filed under: Pogona vitticeps (central bearded dragon)
Lineage: Eukaryota; Metazoa; Chordata; Lepidosauria; Squamata; Agamidae
Description: lncRNA (ENSPVIG00000022149.1)
Source: RNAcentral